GACGAACGCUGGCGGCGUGCUUAACACAUGCAAGUCGAGCGGUAGGGCCCUUUCGGGGGUACGACGAGCGGCGAACGGGUGAGUAACACGUGGGUGACCUGCCCUCAGCUCUGGGAUAAGCCUGGGAAACCGGGUCUAAUACUGGAUAUGACUCCAUGACGCAUGUUGUGGGGUGGAAAGCCUUGUGCGGCUGAGGAUGGGCCCGCGGCCUAUCAGCUUGUUGGUGGGGUGAGGCCUACCAAGGCGACGACGGGUAGCCGGCCUGAGAGGGCGACCGGCCACACUGGGACUGAGACACGGCCCAGACUCCUACGGGAGGCAGCAGU
This 326-nucleotide ribosomal RNA is filed under the name uncultured bacterium. RNAcentral describes it as "bacterial SSU rRNA". It matches the Rfam family "Bacterial small subunit ribosomal RNA", at positions 28 to 355 of the family's 1533-position model. The record is from RNAcentral.